This 500-nucleotide ribosomal RNA is filed under the name uncultured bacterium. RNAcentral describes it as "partial 16S ribosomal RNA". It matches the Rfam family "Bacterial small subunit ribosomal RNA", at positions 30 to 523 of the family's 1533-position model. The record is from RNAcentral.
AUUGAACGCUGGCGGCAUGCUUUACACAUGCAAGUCGAACGGUAACAGGGUGCUUGCACCGCUGACGAGUGGCGAACGGGUGAGUAAUGCGUCGGAACGUGCCGAGUAGUGGGGGAUAACGCAGCGAAAGUUGUGCUAAUACCGCAUACGUACUGAGGUAGAAAGUGGGGGACCUUCGGGCCUCACGCUAUUCGAGCGGCCGACGUCUGAUUAGCUAGUAGGUGAGGUAAAGGCUCACCUAGGCGACGAUCAGUAGCGGGUCUGAGAGGAUGAUCCGCCACACGGGGACUGAGACACGGCCCAGACUCCUACGGGAGGCAGCAGUGGGGAAUUUUGGACAAUGGGCGAAAGCCUGAUCCAGCCAUGCCGCGUGUCUGAAGAAGGCCUUCGGGUUGUAAAGGACUUUUGUCAGGGAGGAAAUCCCUAGUGCUAAUAACACUGGGGGAUGACAGUACCUGAAGAAUAAGCACCGGCUAACUACGUGCCAGCAGCCGCGGUAA